CUUGCCUCCCAGGUUCCUUUUCUCUCACGCCCUGGGCUGGGUCCUAGGUCCAGCUUUUUGUCCUACUCAAAAGAGUUCCCCAGUGGGGAGAGCCUGUGCUUUCAUGCAGAACUAAAAUUGCGUGAGUUUCCCAGCUCAGAUCACUCUUGACUCUACUUUAUAAAACUUGGGGCGUAUAGAGUGCUGCCAUAACACAGUAUUAAGUAAUUGUUCACCUUUAACAAAAGAUGUCUGAAGAUAACGUGGUUGUCAACUGUGUCCUUCACUUAUGUCACUGAUGCCUUUCUGUCUUCCUUGGGAGUUAGGAAAACAGCCUUAGCAAAGUGAUUAUUUGUAUUUAUUCUGUUCCUAAGUCUAAUAAUGAGGUUCAAGUACUCUUUGCCAAGCAAAUAAUAUAUCAGUGAUCCAGCACCAUUGCCAUUGGUAAACUAUUGAAUCAUAAGUAAACCAUUAAGAUAUGAACAGACUGUCAGCACAGACACACCAUCUAUUGUUCUGGGUACUGCUAGAGAGUAGUCACUUAAUGGAUUGCAACCACAUGGUAUAUCAUGCAAGUGUAUAUCAUUUUCUAGUAAUACAUAUUAUAUGUAAUGUGUAUGUGGACAUCACUGACCAAACUGUGUUUUCAACAGUAGCCACCAAAAUGCAUAAAGCUCAAGAGAAAUAAUUUAACAUACCAACUGCUCCUGGUCCCCAGUAUUUCUUCAAUACAAAGCUAUAGCUUAUAGGACCUCCAAGAGAAAAAAAAAAUGAGGGUAGGGAGGAAAUAAUUUGAGGACAGAGGCUUUUCUUUCUAGUAUUCAAAACUGGAAGAGAUCCAGAGAUCCAUGGUGCCUCACCAGUGCUUGGAAAGCAGGUAUGGAGCCUGUGUCUUUUAAAAAGUUUCUAUCUUUAAAAUCCUUAGUUAAUGCUCAGAAGGCACAAGGAAACACGCCAAUCUGAUGUCUGAAAUUAAAAUGUACUGUCAUGUGUCUGUUGUCACAUCUGGCUCACAUAUAUGUUCACACAUUCUACAUAACCCAGUGCAGUGAUAUAUCACUGGGAAUUUUUCAUGGGAAACUCAAAACCAAAGAUAAAACAAAAAUUUAGCUUUAAAGUUUUCACCUAAAUGAUUAUGUUCUGUUUCUAGGCUAAUGUUAAAAUUAACUUUCACUCCCUGAGCAGGCAGUUAGCAAGAAUCAGCAACCGCAAAGUAAGCUAACAGGCAAAGGGAAGUCACUUUUGUAUUAAAAAUUUGCCAUUGCUGUUCAGCAGUUUUUCACACUGUGGAUUAUGUAUUUCAACAUAGCUGGCAAUUUCUCAUUAUAAUCGUGAAGCAGCCAUGAACACUCAGUGCUGGUGAAUAAGAAAGAAAAAGUCCAAGAAACACAUUUUUCAAGCAUUCUGCUGCAAAAUAUAUCAAACUUUCCUUCACGUAAGUUAAAUAGGUAACUCCUGAAGGCAUUUCAGUACAAAGAUUGGCAAGAAUUUACCCUAAAAGGAGCAUAAAGUUGGUUUGUGGGGUGGGAGGCAGGGAGACAAUGAGAGUACUAUAGAGGUGAGAUUUGGUAUGUGUCUUAAAUUAAUGAGAAAAAGAGUCUUUGGCAAAGCGUUGACAACCUCUGUUAUCAUUUUCAUUACUUGAUGUUUGCUAUCCCACAAUUAAAAGAGUGUUCUAUUUCCUUUCCUAUUGAUUAGUGUCCAGUAGUUGAGAUAUACGUGUUUUCCUUUGAAAGGUCAUUGAUUAAUUUUUCUUAUAAACUCUGCAUGUGAUCACUUUCGAUUGCUUUUCCGGGUGAUAACAAUGAAUCCUGAGAUUUUUGUUCACCUCUCCUAAAACUUGUGCCAUGUCUCUUGAUUCUCAUAAGCACAAAGAAAGAUUUAUUAGUUCUUUUUGUCUUGGGGUUCACACAGCUUGGUGACAAGAAGAAUGAGCAGAAAAACUGAUGGAAUUAGAAAAAUGGUGUCCUAAUAGGCAUCUAAAGAAAACAGAAAGGAGGAAGGACCUUUGUUUCGAUGACAAGCACCAUCUAGUGGCAGCAGGUGAUGACGACAUAAUGUCUCUAAGAAGAAUGAAGAUGAAAGUUUUCGAAUAGGUAGUCCAGGCAUUUCUGGUCGCUUAUAGGCAUGACAUUCUUUGAUUCUAAAACAAGAAGUUGUAUGUAGUAGAAUAAUGCAAUUGAUCGGCCCUGCGUUGAUUAUUGAAAGUAAGGUGCCGAUGUGACCUGCAGAUAGGAUUAUUAGCAUAGAAUUUUCUCAGUAUUUGUGUGACUGACUAGGUCCUUAAAGACUCUGUAUUUAAGUUUCCUCAUUACAUAAAAUAGGAAGAGUGAUGGCUUGUCACCAUAUGUUGUCUGUAAAGCACUGUGUUCAACAAAGAGCAGAAUCCAUAAAUAUAACUAUUAUAUUUGGAUUUUUUCACUAUUGGGAAAAAAGGUGAAAAAUAUUGUUGGAUGUUUCUCCUGGAGUUAUACAAAAUUAUAACAUUCAUAGGCAUUUCAUAUUGGGGCCUAAACAGAAAGGUGGUAGGAGAUAACAUUAUAGCUUGUUACUAUAAACGUCAAAGACUGAUCAGAGAUGUUUGUCAAUAUCAAGUCCUUUUUAAAUAGGUGGUUCAUUGGCGAAAGUCUGACCAACAUGUUGCUACACAGAAUAGAGAUUUUCUUUGUGCUGAUAUUUGUUUGGACUUGUAGUUGUUUGCAACAGAAUGAUCAUUAAAGUUGUCACUCUGUA
Homo sapiens (human) is the source of this 2712-nucleotide long non-coding RNA. RefSeq annotates it as SLC4A4 antisense RNA 1. NCBI's taxonomy places the organism in Eukaryota, Metazoa, Chordata, Mammalia, Primates, Hominidae. The record is from RefSeq and is a predicted model, not a curated record. The transcript has 2 exons.